UUUCAUCGCACGUAUAAUGCAGAGGUAGAAGGGGUGGAUCAUAAAUCGCCCCCCACCCUCUCAAACCCCACCCAAACUUGCAGGGUUCGCGCCGCACUUUCCAUUCGCUCUCGCGCUCAGGCAGCCAUGUGAUGAAGUUCUGCUCUUCCCUCACACCUUCUCAUCCUGUGGAUGGAAUAAGAUGCUUUCAAACGACGAUGCCUCGUGCAUCUCCAGCAAACGAGUCGUGGAAGGAUUUCGUGGAUGUGAUUUCUAAUCGAGGAUGUUCGUUUAUCCGUUUCACAUCCAGAUGAGCUGUUUUCGGUGCCAUGGGGAGUCCAAGGAGAAUAGGCAGCUGGAGCUCGGAGUCGCCCGCAGGAGGAAGUGGAGGCAGCGCUGCCUCAUGAGGCUGAUGCAACAUGAGGGAUGGAAGACAAAUGAAGGAUGCUAAAGGAAGCAUGGGAAAGAUGUGAUCUGGAUACUUUCAAUCACUUCAGUGAAAAUAGCAUCAAUCAGAGCUCACAUAUCAUCAUACGAAGAUGCCGAAGAUGGU
RNAcentral lists this long non-coding RNA (532 nucleotides) under Sinocyclocheilus rhinocerous. RNAcentral describes it as "lncRNA (ENSSRHG00000044920.1)". Lineage: Eukaryota; Metazoa; Chordata; Actinopteri; Cypriniformes; Cyprinidae. The record is from RNAcentral.